UCCCUGAUGGUCCAGUGGCUAAGACUUUGUGCUCCCAAUACAGAGGGCCUGGGUUUGAUUCCUGGUCAGGGAA
Bos taurus (domestic cattle) is the source of this 73-nucleotide non-coding RNA. The record is from Rfam. NCBI's taxonomy places the organism in Eukaryota, Metazoa, Chordata, Mammalia, Artiodactyla, Bovidae.